Molecule: unclassified non-coding RNA, 610 nt
Filed under: Phytophthora multivora
Lineage: Eukaryota; Oomycota; Peronosporomycetes; Peronosporales; Peronosporaceae
Description: sequence contains ITS1, 5.8S rRNA gene and ITS2
Rfam family: 5.8S ribosomal RNA (bases 16-170)
Source: RNAcentral
UUUUAACUAGAUAGCAACUUUCAGCAGUGGAUGUCUAGGCUCGCACAUCGAUGAAGAACGCUGCGAACUGCGAUACGUAAUGCGAAUUGCAGGAUUCAGUGAGUCAUCGAAAUUUUGAACGCAUAUUGCACUUCCGGGUUAGUCCUGGGAGUAUGCCUGUAUCAGUGUCCGUACAUCAAACUUGGCUUUCUUCCUUCCGUGUAGUCGGUGGAGGAUGUGCCAGAUGUGAAGUGUCUUGCAGGUGUCCUUCGGGUCGUCUGCGAGUCCUUUGAAAUGUACUGAACUGUACUUCUCUUUGCUCGAAAAGCGUGGCGUUGCUGGUUGUGGAGGCUGCCUGCGUGGCCAGUCGGCGACCGGUUUGUCUGCUGCGGCGUUUAAUGGAGGAGUGUUCGAUUCGCGGUAUGGUUGGCUUCGGCUGAACAGGCGCUUAUUGUAUGCUUUUCCUGCUGUGGCGUGAUGGACUGGUGAACCGUAGCUGUGUGUGGCUUGGCUUUUGAAUCGGCUUUGCUGUUGCGAAGUAGAGUGGCGGCUCCGGCUGUCGAGGGUCGAUCCAUUUGGGAACUUUGUGUGCACCUCGGUGCGCAUCUCAAUUGGACCUGAUAUCAGGCAA